This 68-nucleotide transfer RNA is filed under the name Platycephalus sp. 1 JJX-2020. RNAcentral's name for it is "tRNA-Phe". It matches the Rfam family "tRNA". Rfam says of the family: Transfer RNA (tRNA) molecules are approximately 80 nucleotides in length. Their secondary structure includes four short double-helical elements and three loops (D, anti-codon, and T loops). Further hydrogen bonds mediate the characteristic L-shaped molecular structure. tRNAs have two regions of fundamental functional importance: the anti-codon, which is responsible for specific mRNA codon recognition, and the 3' end, to which the tRNAs corresponding amino acid is attached (by aminoacyl-tRNA synthetases). tRNAs cope with the degeneracy of the genetic code in two manners: having more than one tRNA (with a specific anti-codon) for a particular amino acid; and 'wobble' base-pairing, i.e. permitting non-standard base-pairing at the 3rd anti-codon position. The record is from RNAcentral. Lineage: Eukaryota; Metazoa; Chordata; Actinopteri; Perciformes; Platycephalidae.
GCUAGCGUAGCUUAAUUAAAGCAUAGCGCUGAAAACGUUAAGAUGGGCCCUAGAAAGCUCCGCAAGCA